This 340-nucleotide unclassified non-coding RNA is filed under the name uncultured fungus. Its description in RNAcentral is "partial contains 5.8S ribosomal RNA and internal transcribed spacer 2". The stretch from base 1 to 133 matches the Rfam family "5.8S ribosomal RNA", at positions 22 to 154 of the family's 154-position model. The record is from RNAcentral. Lineage: Eukaryota; Fungi.
UGGUUCUGGCAUCGAUGAAGAACGCAGCGAAAUGCGAUAAGUAAUGUGAAUUGCAGAAUUCAGUGAAUCAUCGAAUCUUUGAACGCACAUUGCGCCCGCCAGUACUCUGGCGGGCAUGCCUGUCCGAGCGUCAUUUCAACCCUCGAGCCCAUCUGGGAUCGGUGUUGGGGAUCGGCGCCGCCCCCGGGUGGCCGCCGUCCCUCAAAUCUAGUGGCGGUCUUCGCUGCAGCCUCCUCUGCGUAGUAGAAACACCUCGCACCGGAGCGCGGCCUGGGCUUCGCCGUAAAACAACCAACUUCAUAUCAAGGUUGACCUCGGAUCAGGUAGGAAUACCCGCUGA